AGGACUAACGCUGGCGGCGUGCCUAACACAUGCAAGUCGAACGGGGUAGCAAUACCCAGUGGCAGACGGGUGAGUAACACGUGGUCAACCUACCUCUAUGUGGGGGAUAACUAGCCGAAAGGUUAGCUAAUACCGCAUACGAUCGCUUUGGGGCAUCCCUAGGCGAUGAAAGGAGCAAUCCGCAUAGAGAGGGGACUGCGUCCCAUUAGUUAGUUGGUGGGGUAACGGCCUACCAAGACUCCGAUGGGUAGCUGGCUUGAGAGAGCGACCAGCCACACUGGAACUGAGACACGGUCCAGACUCCUAUGGGAGGCAGCAGUGAGGAAUUUUCCGCAAUGGGCGAAAGCCUGACGGAGCGACGCCGCGUGUGGGAAGAAGGCCUUCGGGUCGUAAACCACUGUCGAAGGGGACGAUAAUGACGGUACCCUUGGAGGAGCCCGGCUAACUACGUGCCGAGCAGCCGC
Molecule: ribosomal RNA, 464 nt
Filed under: uncultured bacterium
Lineage: Bacteria
Description: SSU rRNA
Rfam family: Bacterial small subunit ribosomal RNA
Source: RNAcentral